This 232-nucleotide ribosomal RNA is filed under the name uncultured bacterium. RNAcentral describes it as "partial 16S ribosomal RNA". It matches the Rfam family "Bacterial small subunit ribosomal RNA", at positions 118 to 338 of the family's 1533-position model. The record is from RNAcentral.
UGGGUAACCUGCCUCAAAGAGGGGAAUAGCCUCCCGAAAGGGAGAUUAAUACCGCAUAAUAUGUUUAGGUCGCAUGACUUUAACAUCAAAGGAUUUUCUUUUAGAAAUUCCACUUUGAGAUGGACCCGCGGCGCAUUAGCUAGUUGGUGAGGUAACGCUCACCAAGGCAACGAUGCGUAGCCGACCUGAGAGGGUNAUCGGCCACAUUGGAACUGAGACACGGUCCAGCUCC